Molecule: ribosomal RNA, 432 nt
Filed under: uncultured bacterium
Lineage: Bacteria
Description: partial 16S ribosomal RNA
Rfam family: Bacterial small subunit ribosomal RNA
Source: RNAcentral
AACGAACGCUGGCGGCAUGCCUAACACAUGCAAGUCGAACGAGACCUUCGGGUCUAGUGGCGCACGGGUGCGUAACGCGUGGGAACCUGCCCUUAGGUUCGGAAUAACUCCCCGAAAGGGGUGCUAAUACCGGAUAAUGUCUUCGGACCAAAGAUUUAUCGCCUUUGGAUGGGCCCGCGUUGGAUUAGCUAGUUGGUAGGGUAAAAGCCUACCAAGGCGACGAUCCAUAGCUGGUCUGAGAGGAUGAUCAGCCACACUGGGAUUGAGACACGGCCCAGACCCCCCGGGGGGGGAGAAUGGGGGAAAUUGGAAAAAUGGGCGAAAGCCUGACCCAGAAAUGCCGGGGGAUUGAUGAAGGCUUUAGGGUUGAAAAGCUUUUUUACCCGGGAUGAUAAUGACAGUACCGGGAAAAAAAGCCCCGGUUAACCCCGG